This 15986-nucleotide long non-coding RNA is filed under the name Sorghum bicolor (sorghum). RNAcentral's name for it is "long non-coding RNA (SBIC_LNC002772)". The record is from RNAcentral. Lineage: Eukaryota; Viridiplantae; Streptophyta; Magnoliopsida; Poales; Poaceae.
ACACCUCCACUCUAUCUCUCUCAAUCUAGUAGAAACUAGAAGAUCUAUUUCUACCUUACAUUGGUUGCUAAGCCGAAAAAGAAAUAUUAUUUAGAGAAGAGGUUUUCCUUCGAGGGCACCCCUCAAUCUCUAUGAUAAUUUCUUGUCUUCUCCAGGGCCAGAGGGGGUCUCCUUAUAUAGUCCUCCCCUUCUAUGCGUUUUUGGGUCGAUAGGCGAGGUGGUACUAUGUUAUUCUGGAUCCAAUAGGUCGGUGGAACGUCGUGUGCGAAGAGAGUCCGGAACGGAGUCCAGAGGGGGGCGGGCGCCCAGGUCCUCAGGGCAGGCGCCCUGGGCCUGGCCCCUUUCGGGCUCCGCUUCCUUCCCGUGGCUUCUGGAGUCUUCUAGAUGGUAGAAAAUUGCGCGGUGGGUUGAUAUCUCUAUGUAAUCCUGACAUGUGGGCCUUUCUUCCUUAUUUCCUGAUAACCCCCUGCAGAAAUAGACAAACACCAAAACUCAUGGAAUUCUGUCAGAUAAAACCCUAAGUCUAGAUGUUGAUUUCAUUUGGAUCCUUUUCUUUGUUUAUUUGAUAAUUAAAUUUGAUACUUAAGGACCGUCAACAAACUCCCCCAAGCUUACCUCUUGCUCGUCCCUGAGCAAGGAUGAACUCAAGAGUUUCUGUAGUGGUUUCAUUUCUUAGAAGUACACACGCAUUUAAGCAAGAUCUCAUCUCUGAGUUAGAAUAAACUGUUAAGACUUAAAACUUACUUACUUUACCUACACCAUAGGACUUGUAACCGUCACUUCUGUCUUGAGUGGUUAAAAGAUAGAACAGUCUAGCCAAUUGCCAUGUCUCUUAUUCUUGAUCAGCUAUAGCUCUGGGGUUUUUGCAGAUUUUCAAAUAAAACUCAGAAAUUCCUUGUAUGAUUCUCUCAGGUCUCUCUUUUGUGGUAUUUUUGGAUCCUUACCAAGGCAGUGAUGGUAUAUGCCUUCUCUCAAAAUAUGUAGUAUUGGUGGUAUGAAGCAUAGUGUCAUUGUCUUCUCUCUCACCCUACUCUAAUAAGGCUUUAAUAUCUGGAGCUCAUAGGUGGGCGAUAAAGUAUACAUACUUACAAGACAUUUAUUGCAUAGUCAAACCAUGGAUCCAAAGAAACAAAUCAAUAAGCCAAAUCAAGAUGUGCAUGUGUGGCGAAUGAAUGGUGUAUGGUGAUAACAAUGGUGGUGGAAGUCUAAUUCUACUUUGCUCUUUGAGGGGAUACAUACCUUCCUUGCUUUUGAAACUUUAUGAGGAGAAUGAGAUGCUCUUCUUUUUUCUUUUCUUUCAAGGUUCCGAGCACUUGCUCCUUUUUAUUUCCUCGUAUCUUUUAUUUUCUUUUUCUCUUUUUUUUUCAGAGCAUUCAUCUCUUGAGAUAAUAUAGCAAGUGGUAGUAACAAGAUAACUUGAGCAUUUAUUUCACAAGGGGAAACAGAAAUAUUUUUGGUUAUUCUCUCCCGGAUUAGGAGUAGAAUACUUUUGGGUGGUUUUGGAGAUGGAAAUGAGUAGAUAUAUGUGGAUGGUACUUCCGGAGUAGAAGUAGCAUGUAUGAGUUAACGUGCAAAUGAAUCUUGAUUUAACCACAUGACAAGCUCCUAAGGGUCUAUACAGCUUGACCACACUCAAUGCUCAUAAGCAGUAAAUAGUAAAUGUGUGGCUCAAGGUCUAGCAAGCAUGUAUAUAUGGCUGUGGUAGGAAUUUAAACUCUCAUCAUACAGGAACUCAUCAUGCAACAUUUUAAAGAUUUUCAAAGAUAAAAUUCUCCAGAAUUCUAGCAUCUCUAGGAACAGAUAAACAACAGCUCAACCUUCCCAUAUCGUAUCCGUUAACAACUUAGACUUCAGAUCAAGUUUUCAUCCCACAAGUUUAGGUCUAGAGCAAGCCUUAAAUUAUAACAGUUAUAUCUAAACUUGAGAGAGAACUUCAAAUAUUCAAAUUAGGCAGAGCAACUAUUCAUCAUAUCCAUGCUUAAGUUUUAUUAGAUAUAGAUUAGCAUAGCCACUUUAUUUAUUUAUUAAACACACUAAGCAAAAUAUAUAUAAGCAUAAAAUCUUUAUUUGGUUUUUCAUAGUUAUGUGUAUUUAUAUUCUAAUAUAGUAUAAGUAUAAAGAUAGAUAGAAAUACUUAUCGAGAUAAAUGGGGGUGCUCUCCCCCAAGCUGAAUUUUGACGUAAUUUCUUGAUGUAGCUAGCAGGUGGCAGAGGUGUAUUUGAAAUUCAGCAGCAUUCUGACAGCGAUUAGAAUGUCCUCCGUCUGCUAGUCUUCUUGAUUCUUAAAUUCUGUGGAGCUCAAAUAGACAACAAAGCUUGUGGAACUGGUUAAGUGUUAGCAUAAAUAUCUAGCCUUUAUCAUGUUGAGACUCCUUAAUAAAUAUUACUCCCUGUUUUUAUAUUUUUAUUUUUAUAAAGCAGAAAAAUAUUUAUUUUAUUUUUAUGCCACCACAGUGAAUGUACUUAUGGGUUUUAUGCCACUCGUCUACUCACAUGGGGCUUACAGUUUUUUGUCACAUUUUUAUUUUCUUUCUAGGAUAAUACGAACAUGAUUAACUAAGUAAACUAUUUGAAAUAAUUAAAAGGGAAAGGAUAACUACCAAGUUUACCUCUUGGCAAGGCGUUCGGUGUUUUUAAGUCCUCCGAGCGGGACUCUCCAUUUUCUUAAUCGUCCUGGGAUUCGCUGGAUGACGUAGUCGGUGAUUCCGGUGGCGCCUCCUCUUCGUGUGUAACUAUAUUCUCUCUCCACACCUGACUCGGUGCUAUGGUCUCCUCAGGACAGUUAUGUUCAAGUGGUAUGUCUUCAGUCCUUAUCACUUCUCCUUCGUAGUCUACCCAUCCGUCCUUGAUGAUUUGCCUCCUCUGGUUGCGGUUGCGUUGUCUUCUUCUUGUCCUGACGUGGUCUUCUCCGGUUCCAAUGUAGAUGAUGGCUUUGAUAGUGCUAAGGAACGGUCUUCUAAGGAUGAUGGGUGGAUCGUACUCGUCUUCUCCCAUGUUAAUGACCUAAAAAUCAUCUGGAGCUGAAUGUAUGUUGGUUGUAGGGGCAUGGUUCCAUGCAGGAGCUGAUAAGUGACUGCGGCCAUUAUGUUGACGUCAGAUCCGGUGUCGUAGAGUGUCUUCUAAAAAGAGUAUUUGUUGAUUGUGCACUCAAUGCUUGGAACACCAGGGUCGUCCUUCUUGAUCAAGAAAGGUGACUUGAAUCGACGAUCUUGACCUCCUUGAGCUGCAGUGACCAUCUUAGCUGACUCGGUCCACAUUUGCUUGUUCUUGUUCCUCCUGUUGGUCCUCUUCCUCGGUUCAUGUCGGGAUUGCUCUGAAAUUUGUGUAGUCUUGUUCUUGAAGGAAAGUCUCCUUCUUCCCCUUGAUGUAGAGACUGAUCUUGGCAGCAUUAGCGUAGAUGACAGCUCUAGUGUUUAGGAAUGGCCUCCCUAAGAUGAUGGGUGCCCUCUCCUCAGUACCAGUCUCUAUCACCAUGAAGUCUGCUAGAGCAUACAAGGUACCAACUCGGACGCAGAGGUUCUUCAAUAUUUCCUUUGGGAAACUGAGUGUCCGAUCUGCAACCUUGGGCAUAAUGUUGACGCUGGAGCCAAAGUCGCAGAGUGCUUCUGGGAAGUCCACCAUGCCGAUGGAGAUCGGGAUGACGAGGCGUCCUAGAUCACCUCUCUGAGUAAUUAGGCCUCUGUUGAUUCCAACCUUGAUGUUGUUGAGGACGGUUGUAGUAAUAGUUGUUAUGGUUGUUGAUGUAGUUCACGUCCUCAAGCAUCUUAGGGCAGUGAUUGCCUGAGCGUCCAGUAUCUCCAGUGUGUUUGUGCUCGUAGAUCCUAGUUCUUCACUUGGUGGAAUCUGGGAGUUGUAAAACUCCUUCAUAUUAUGCUCGAAGUGUUCCUGCUCAUAGAGACAAGGUAGAGAUCAAGUGCAUGGGCCCUGUUGGUGGAAAACACCAACAAAACCAAAAGUGUAUUUGUUCUUCUCUAACCUUAAGCAUAGUGAGCAAGACAAAGUUGAUGGAUCAUGAGUGUAGCAUUUGUCAGAUCAGAUGGCUCAACCUAAUGGAAAGAUAAUCUAUCUAUAUUUAUGUUUUGUUUAUAUCUUCCAAAGAUUUAAUGUGCAAUACUUUAGCUUAUAUGAUUAGGAGUGUGGGGUCACGAAGGUAGUACUAAGAACAAAGAUUAAAGGACUAAACAUGUUGAAUUAAUUGAGUUGGUUAAUUUGGAGUUAUAAAUCAUACAUGUUUGUCUCUUUAUUUUAUGUGAACGCUAGAACCAAGGAGAAACUUAUAAAAGUGAUAGUCAAGUACCUUAAGAUGUUACCUUAUUUGAAGAGUGAUGGUACAGUAUCACCUUGUGGAAGCUUUCCUUUCUUAGCGGUUGUGCAUCGUGUUUGUGGCACCCUCCAUGAAUCAUCUCUUAUGAGCUACGUCUUUCUUGUGCAAAUUGUUAAACUUCAUGUGUCACUUUCUUCAUCUCUAAUGAGUUUGCAUCUCAGGACUUCCCAGGUUGAUAUUGAAAGUUUUCCUACAGGGGUUAGUCCAACAAAAUAUACCAAUAUCUACUCAAGCAGUUUUUAGUUCAGUAACCAAACUAGACUCCAUGUCUAAUCAGAUUAAGGAAGGCUAUUUAACCUAAGCACCACGCUUAAUUUAAAUGCCAUUGGAAGUGUGACCAGUACUUCCAAACUAACACUUACUAGGAUAAACAAAGGUAGCAUGAUGGCUUUUAUAGAGAUCUACUCAAGUGGAGAUGAAGUAGUGUGAUUAGUAUUUAAAAAAUUGAGCAUGUCUCAAAGGUAAGGACAACCAACAUAGCAACAUGGCAAAGGAUGUUUUAUGUAAAGUACUCCCCCAAGCUUGAAUUUUGCAAAAUUCAAGAUUAGAUGAAUUUAAUUUAAUGUUGCAUGAUGAUUGGUUGGGCAUACCUUGCGCUUGUCAUUCAUCCGAUCUUCUUGCUCCAAUCCUAGAAAGGUUAGUGGCAAGAAUACCCGAAGGAAUUUUUCUACAAUUAUCUUUAUAUGCUCAAUACACAAGGCAAUGUUGCAAAUAAUUAGAAGUGCUUGUUUUAGGACACUAAGCUUGUCCUUGGGAAACCAUCAAUCAACUCAACGAGAUCUGUAAUAGUUAUUAUAGACAUAUGCAUCGACAACCGCCCUUUUAAAGUUUUUAUAAAUAGAAAGGAAAAGGGGGUUGGAGAUCUCAAAUGUGGUAAGGAUGGAGAGACAAAUUGAUUGGAGAGAUGUUUUAUAUGAGCAAGGACUGGGUGAGGUAUUUAUGAAAUAACUUCCAUGCUCACUGUUGUUUCUCUCAUUCUCAAACUCCAAGGAUGAUUCUUCAUGAAUGUUUAAAAUUCCUCUAGGAUUGUCUCUCAAGUUUGUUUUAUCUAUCCAUUCAAUGGAGAUAGCACAUGGAUUUUUAAUGCCCUCUAGCCAUUGAUGUUGCUCUUCUCGAUCCUCCUUCUUAUGCAUGGGAUGUCUAGAAAGAUUCAUAGGAUUAUCGGGAGGUUCAAGAGGAAGAGCAUAGUAGAAACUAUUAAGCUCAAGGAUGGGAUGGAUAGCCGAAUUAUGGGUUUGAAAUGUUUGGAAAUUGGCUAUUGAAACUUCCUUUCCUUGUCUGGGAGAUGAUUCCUUCUCUAUUUCUAAGAUUUUUCUAUGAAGACUAGUACAAGAUGGAUGUCCACGAAUAAAGACAUACCUUCCUUUACUAAUAGAUAAAGAAAGAAAGACUCUACCAAAGUUUAUAUGAUUAAGACCAAUGUGAAAAUAUUUAGGAAAAACAUGGUCUUGUAGGGCUAGGUCUAAACCAGAAUUUAUAGAAAGAUUAAAAGAUUCCCUAGGUGUAGCUAAAAGUGCAUUAUCUUUUUGAUUAAAAGAUAGGACCUCAGCUAUAGAAAAGGGUUGGUUUUGACCUAUUGCAAUCAACUCCGGACACAUAUCAUAAUUAGGGGCAGGACGUGUUGACUCCCAUGGUCUAUGGCUGGUCUCCGAAGGUGCAAAGAAUUCAAUAAUAGGUAUGGAAUUUGAGUUAUCCAUAAAGAUAAAAAUAAAAAGAUAAAAGAAUAAAAGUAUAAAAGUAUAAUACAAGAUAAUAGCAAGACUCAAAGUUAUCUCAGCAAACCGUCUUUCUCCCCGGCAACGGCGCCAGAAAUGCUUGUUGAUAUUUGGUAACGCAAUUAGAAAAUGAUCCGCAAGCGCACGGAUAUCGGUGAGCAUUUCACCCGGGAGGUUAUCCAGAGUUAUCGUAUUUAUAUUUUUACCACUGGGAGAAAGGGUGCAUCUGACUAACCAAAUCUAUUGCUACUAUCCCUUUAGGCUAGAAAGAAUGUCUCUCGAUGUGAGUGAUGUAUAGAGAAGACUGCAACCUUAGUCUCGUUCUAACCUUGGUAAGGAUGAUCUACUGUUCUAUUGGGGAGGCUCACGGAAUCUAGACAACACAAAGGAUGUUCGACCCGCACCUAUAAACCUACCCGUCCUGCUAACGAGAUGUGAUCUGCAAAGGUAACUCGGAAAUGUCACAUUCCUCGCUACUACCACGGUCCAGCUAGUCAGGGGAUAUCUAUGAGUACCCUAGCCUAAACACCACGUUUACGCUAACAAGUGAUUAGUCUAAUACUCAACCGGAAGAGGAUUAAAGUAAACUCAUAAACCAAAGAACAAUAAAACAAGAACUUACUAGAAUUAGAAGUCGAAUUACUGAAGAAUCUUAGAAGCAAGCCUCGGGUUAGGAGACUUGAUCCCGCAGGUACAACUCGGAGUAGACACCGACAGGCCAGCCUUCCUCCGAUCCACACCUCCACUCUAUCUCUCUCAAUCUAGUAGAAACUAGAAGAUCUAUUUCUACCUUACAUUGGUUGCUAAGCCUAAAAAGAAAUAUUAUUUAGAGAAGAGGUUUUCCUUCGAGGGCACCCCUCAAUCUCUAUGAUAAUUUCUUGUCUUCUCCAGGGCCAGAGGGGGUCUCCUUAUAUAGUUCUCCCCUUCUAUGCGUUUUUGGGUCAAUAGGCUAGGUGGUACUAUGUUAUUCUGGAUCCAAUAGGUCGGUGGAACGUCGUGUGCGAAGAGAGUCCGGAACGGAGUCCAGAGGGGGGCGGGCGCCCAGGUCCUCAGGGCGGGCGCCCUGGGCCUGGCCCCUUUCCGGCUCCGCUUCCUUCCCGUUGCUUAUGGAGUCUUCUAGAUGGUAGAAAAUUGCGCGGUGGGUUGAUAUCUCUAUGUAAUCCCGACAUGUGGGCCUUUCUUCCUUAUUUCCUGAUAAUCCCCUGCAGAAAUAGACAAACACCAAAACUCGUGGAAUUCUGUCAGAUAAAACCCUAAGUCUAGAUGUUGAUUUCAUUUGGAUCCUUUUCUUUGUUUAUUUGAUAAUUAAAUUUGAUACUUAAGGACCAUCAACAAUAGACAUAGCCCUUUGAAGUAGAGAAACCAUAGUUAUCCUCUCUAUUCUGCUACCAUCGCCCAUAUACUAGAUUGCUCUACUCUCUAUUCCCAUAUUAUCACCCAUUGUUAUCUUACCUUUAAUAUUGUUCUUAUUUAAUUCUACCAUCUUUCCUAUUUACACAUAUCUAUCUAUCUUGGUUAAGUUACAGCGUAGUUGGUUCUCCCGAUUCCCUGUGGAUACAAUAAGACCUUUAACCGGGUAAAAGCUACAACAGUAUCCGUGCGCUUGCGGAUUUAUCUGUGUGCGUAUAAAUACCAUAGUACACUCUAGUGCCAUGCUGGGGAUGACAACCUAGUAUUCAAGUGGUGUUUGCAAGUGUCAACACCUCUCAACCCUAAUUCAUUGUUCCUCAAGGGAGAAGAAGCCUCUGGUCAAGCCUAGAGCCACCACAUCAAUUAGACAUCUAGAUUAGCAUAGCUACAUAGGAUUAGAACUAGGAGUCAAUCUUCGAUUCGUUUCCGGAUCUGUCAAGAGGAUUCUUAGUUCUCUAAUUAUUCUUCUAAUUGUUUAUCUUUGUUCUUCAUUAUUAUGAAUAUGACUUUGUUCUAUUUCAAUAUAUUGCUUAUGACUUUGCUCUACUUGUUUAUAUUCAAGAUUAUAUUGUUCUUAGUGUAUCAUAGUUAUAUACUUGGCUUAGUUAGAUUGGAUCUAUAUACAUGUUUAGGAUCGUAUAGCGUUUAUCCAUAGGAUCCAUGGGUAAAUGAUAGAUAUUGUGUAGGCGUGGUGCUUAUACCGUAUUUAUCUGCGAUUGUACCCAAUAUGCCAGAUCGUGGGGUAGUUCGUGAUAGUGACAACUUCAUUGAUUCUUAUAUAGUAUCCCUCUCGUGUAUUGGGCUGGCAGAGCAACAUUGUUACAGGGGAGUGAUUACGAUGUUUAUCAUAUUCCUUGCUAAUAUCACUAUGUAUGGGCGUAGUCUUGUCUCACAAUGAUUGCUAAGUAUGCUUGCACUAACUAUGAUAAUGCUAGACUAUAUAGUUGAGAAUAACUUAGGAAAUAUUCUUGUAGUUCGUUCUAAUUCCAUGCUAAUGACUUGCUAGAAUAUCUAAUUGAGGUGCUUAUCAUAUUUAUUAUGUGGCUAAGUUAUGCUGAUCAGAUUAAUUUUCUUUGUCACUAUUUAUUACUUUAUAUCCUUUAUGUGACACUUACCCCUGUAUGAAAGAGUUAGAUAAAUGUUCUCAAUUAUACAUGCAAUGAUAGAUACCCAAUCUCAUAUUCCAUUCUAUAAUCAACAUUGAUGAUUGCUAAUCCCUUCCCAGUGGUAAAAAUAUAAAUAACGAUGCCUAGAAUACUUCCCGGUUAAAAUGCUACAUCGGUAUUAAUCUGUGCGCUUGUAGAUCCCAUUCAUUAUUUAUUUAGAUGAGCAAUUGCAUAUUUCAAUACUGCGUCUAUCAUAUCAUGCUAGGGAUGACAACUUGGCUUAAGUGGUAUGAGGGAUAGGUUUGGCAUUUUUCGCACCAUUAUCAGAAUUAGAAAACUAAGUCUUGUCACACCCAUAUUUUAAGAACAAAAUAGGAUGCAUAUAAGACUCAUAUGUGCCCCAGAAACAGUCGCACACAUAAGUAGAUAAAUCUCAAAUGUACCAUUGCAGUGUUUAUUACAUAGCGGAACAAUAAUAAAUCACAUAGUCUUACACAAAAAUAAUAUGAGAUAAACAACGCUCUUGACGGAAGCACCACACAGGGACACUGUUGACUGGUUGACUCCAAACCUAGUACUCAUAACGGUAAUCCUCAUUCCAGUCAUCUUCAUUAUCAUAUCCUGAGGUGUUAGGAAAUUGCAAGAGUGAGCACAUAUCGUACUCAACAAGUAUAACCAGGGGUUCAUGAGGCUCAAAUAGCUGACACUGGUUUGACUGCAUUUAGCUUUUAAUAGUGGAUAGCAUGUUUACUCAUUGGAUAGCAAAUCUCAAGGUAGCAUUAUUAAAUCCCAUAACCACAUGAUCAAUGUAUACAAGAAUUAAGAAUAACACAUAUAAACAACAUAAUAAACCAUCAUUUAUUAUCAUUAUUCACGUUCAUCAGUGUCCAUCUAUUCCGUCAGUUUUCCGAGCCGCCCGUAUCUGUGGGCACGGCUAGUAUACCAUAUUUAACACUCUGCAGAGGUUGUACAUCUUUACCCAUGAGUCGUGAUUUACCCUUUCGCCCGAGGUUGCAAGUCUCUGAACCCCCUUCCUAGGGAGGUCGGCAGGGAUCACUAUGAAGCCUUUCAAAGGUUUCGUCUAACAAGUUAGGGCGAUUAGAUUCACUCGGCACGCAGAUAUAGAGCCUCCCUUCCAUGGCACAUAACCCGCAGCCUAUACACAUGGACAGAGGCCACACUAUACCCAACGUGUCUAGCCAUUCUUACGCCAUUUAAGGUAACCACUAACAAGCUAGAAAAGGUCAUACUGAGCUAAAACCAGAGCCAUAUAGCCCUCAUGGUUGUACGAAUUGUCCCAGCUUUUGCCAAGGGAUAAGUCCUUAUGGAGGGUCAAGAUCAAUCUAGCAAAAGCUAGAGUUCUUUCCACCCUUUAUGUUCAAGUUGCUAGAAAGCUUAUUUUAUUGUUUAUUGUACAUUCAAAUAUUCAUGUUACAAGAUCAUGGGUUAAUAUUCAAGCACUAGCAAGAACUACCCAAAUGCAUAUCCAAAAUAGGUAAUAAGGAAUUCAGGAUAACAAUCAUCUAUGAUUUUGCUAAGGUCAUCAAGGUGGACACAUGCAUAUGAUAAAUAUUGUAUUAAUUGUGUAUAGGUAACAAGGAUGAUCCCAAGUUAUACUUGCCUUGCUCAAAGCUCUCCUGAGCCUGCUGGUCUUCAAAGGCUUGGUCUUGAUCACCAACGUACGGCUCACCGUCUAUUUCCAAACAUUAAUCAACAACACGCAAUCCAAUGUAGACAAUCAUACACAAAGCAAACAACUAUAAUUAGAACAUUACACCAAACAGUAGUAAAACAAAUUUAAAAGUUUACCAAAAUAUUCUAUGCAGCUCUACGAUCACACAAACGUAAAGUUCACGAAAAUCGGAAUUAAAACGGAGUAGUUAUGCAAUUUCCAAGAUUUCCUAUAGAGAAAUAAUUAAUUAAAUGCUACUGCAGAACUAAAAAGUUUCAAAACAGUAAACUAAUACUUCUAACAUGUAGGGAUCGUAAAUACGAAUCCAAUGGAAUUUGAAUGGACAAAAACGGAGUUAAAAUGAGCAUUUUAUAAGCAAAACAAAUCCAGUGGCAAUUCUAUAAUUAGCUAAAAACGUAUUUAGCUUCAUCCCGAACGAAAAUACGCUUUCUACUCAGCAACGCGUAUUUUCCGGAGGGCGCCAAGGACCGCGGGCGAAUUACAAAAGAACACACGGACUCUUUAGAAAGAUUUCCAACGAAGGGGUAUCUUCAUUUGCUGGCCAUCCGAUCUCCAUCCGACGGCCGAGAUUUAGCAACGCGUAUUUUCCGGAGGGCGCCAAGGACCGCGGGCGAAUUACAAAAGAACACACGGACUCUUUAGAAAGAUUUCCAACGAAGGGGUAUCUUCAUUUGCUGGCCAUCCGAUCUCCAUCCGACGGCCGAGAUUUCUCCAGGGGUUAACAGCGGCGGCGGCCGACCAGCUUCCUGGUCUCCGGUGCGGUGGCGCCAUUGUUGCCACUGUUGAUAUUUGGUAACGCAAUUAGAAAAUGAUCCGCAAGCGCACGGAUAUCGGUGAGCAUUUCACCCAGGAGGUUUUCCAGAGUAUCGUAUUUAUAUUUUUACCACUGGGAGAAAGGGUGCAUCUGACUAACCAAAUCUAUUGCUUCUACCCCUUUAGGCUACAAAGAAUGUCUCUCGAUGUGAGUGAUGUAUAGAGAAGACUACAACCGUAGUCUCAUUCUAACCUUGGUAAGGAUAAUCUACUGUUCUAUUGGGGAGGCUCACGGAAUCUAGACAACACAAAGGAUGUUCGACCCGCACCUAUAACCCUACCCGUCCUGCUAACGAGAUGUGAUCUACAAAGGUAACUCGGAAAUGUCACGUUCCUCGCUACUACCACGGUCCAGCUAGUCAGGGGAUAUCUAUGAGUACCCUAGCCUAAACACCACGUUUACGCUAACAAGUGAUUACUCUAAUACUCAACCGGAAGAGGAUUAAAGUAAACUCAUAAACCAAAGAACAAUAAAACAAGAACUUACUAGUAUUAGAAGUCGAAUUACUGAAGAAUCUUAGAAGCAAGCCUUGGGUUAGGAGACUUGAUCCCGUAGGUACAACUCGGAGUAGACACCGACAGGCCGGCCUUCCUCCGAUCCACACCUCCACUCUAUCUCUCUCAAUCUAGUAGAAACUAGAAGAUCUAUUUCUACUUUACAUUGGAUGCUAAGCCUAAAAAGAAAUAUUAUUUAGAGAAGAGGUUUUCCUUCGAGGGCACCCCUCAAUCUCUAUGAUAAUUUCUUGUCUUCUCCAGGGCCAGGGGGGCCUUGCUUAUAUAGUCCUCCACUUCUAUGCGUUUUUGGGUCGAUAGGCGAGGUGGUACUAUGUUUUCCUUGAUCCAAUAGGUCGGUGGAACGUCGUGUGCGAAGAGAGUCCGGAACGGAGUCCAGAGGGGGGCGGGCGCCCAGGUCCUCAGGGCGGGUGCCCUGGGCCUGGCCCCUUUCGGGCUCCGCUUCCUUCCCGUGGCUUCUAGAGUCUUCUAGAUGGUAGAAAAUUGCGCGGUGGGUUGAUAUCUCUAUGUAAUCCCGACAUGUGGGCCUUUCUUCCUUAUUUCCUGAUAACCCCCUGCAGAAAUAGACAAACACCAAAACUCGUGGAAUUCUGUCAGAUAAAACCCUAAGUCUAGAUGUUGAUUUCAUUUGGAUCCUUUUCUUUGUUUAUUUGAUAAUUAAAUUUGAUACUUAAGGACCGUCAACAAACUCCCCCAAGCUUACCUCUUGCUCGUCCCUGAGCAAGGAUAGACUCAGCUAUGGAUCAUAAAUUGUUGCAAUAUUUUUAAAAAUUGAUGUACACAUGCUUUUUAAAUAAGAUCUCAUCUCUGAGUUAGAGUAAACUGUCAAGACUUAAAACUUACUUACUUUACCUUUCACCAUGGGACUUGUAACCGUCACUUCUGUCUUGAGUGGUUAAAAGAUAGAACAGUCUAGCCAAGUGCCAUGUCUCUUAUUCUUGAUCAGCUAUAGCUCUAGAGUUUUUGCAGAUUUUCAAAUAAAACUCAGAGAUUCCUUGUAUGAUUCUCUCAGAUCUCUCUUUUGUGGUAUUUUUGGAUCCUUACCAAGGCAGUAAUGGGAUAUGCCUUCUCUCAAUAUAUGUAGUAUUUGUGGUAUGAAGCAUAGUGACAUUGUCUUCUCUCUCACCCUACUCUAAUAAGGCUUUAAUAUCUGGAGCUCAUAGGUGGGAGAUAAAGUAUACAUACUUACAAGACAUUUAUUGCAUAGUCAAACCAUGGAUCUAAAGAAACAAAUCAAUAAGCCAAAUCAAGAUGUGCAUGUGUGGCGAAUGAAUGGUGUAUGGUGAUGAUGGUGAUAACAAUGGUGGUGGAAGUCUAAUUCUACUUUGCUCUUUGAGGGGAUACAUACCUUCCUUGCUUUUGAAACUUUAUGAGGAGAAUGAGAUGCUCUUCUUUUUUUUUCUCAGGUGGGUAUCUUGCACCCCUAAUUCUACUGUCGGACACUUGUCCAUUUUUACCUCUCGUCUCACUUUUUCUUUUCUUUCGAGGUUCCGAGCACUUGCUCCUUUUUAUUUCCUCGUAUCUCUUUUUUUUCUUUUCUUUCUUUUUUUUAGAGCACUCAUCUCCUGAAAUAAUAUAGCAAGUGGUAGUAACCAGGAUAACUCGAGCAUUUAUUUCACAGGGAAUAACAGGGAUAGGAUAAUAUUUUUGGAUAUUCUCUCCUGGAUUAGGAGUAGAAUAAUUUUUGGGUGAAUGUGGAGAUGGAAAUGAGUGGAUAUAUUUGGAUGGUACUUCCGGAGUAGAAGUAGCAUGUAUGAGUGAACGUGCAAGUGAAUCUUGAUUUAACCAUAUGACAAGCUCCUAAGGGUCUACACAGCUUGACCACACUCAAUGCUCAUAAGCAGAAAAAAGUAAAUAUGUGGCUCAAAGUCUAGCAAGCAUGUAUAUAUGGCUGUGGUAGGAAUUUAAACUCUCAUCAUAUAGGAACUCAUCAUGUGUUAUUUUAAAGAUUUUUAAAGAUAAAAUUCUCCAGAAUUCUAGCAUCUCUAGGAACAGAUAAACAGCAGCUCAACCUUCCCAUAUCGUAUCCGUUAACAACUUAGACUUCAGAUCAAGUUUUUAUCCCACAAGUUUAGGUCUAGAGCAAGCCUUAAAUUAUAACAGUUAUAUCUAAACUCGAGAGAGAACUUCAAAUUUGCAAAUUAGGCAGAGCAACUAUUCAUCAUAUCCAUGCUUAAGUUUUAUUAUUAAGAUUCAGAUUAGCAUAGCCACUUUAUUAAACACACUAAGCAAAAUAUAUAUAAGCAUAAAAUCUUUAUUUGGUUUUUUAUAGUUAUGUGUAUUUAUAUUCUAAUAUAGUAUAAGUAUAAAGAUAGAUAGAAAUACUUAUCGUGAUAAAUGGGGGUGCUCUCCCCCAAGCUGAAUUUUGACGUAAUUUCUCUUGAUGUAGCUAGCACGUGGCAGAGGUGUGUUUGAAAGUCAGCAGUAUUUUGACAGCGAUUAGAAUGUCCUCCGUCUGCUAGUCUUCUUGAUUCUUAAAUUCUGUGGAGCUCAAAUAGACAACAAAGCUUGUGGAACUGAUUAAGUGUUAGCAUAAAUAUCUAGCCUGUAUCAUGUUGAGACUCCUUAAUAAAUAUUACUCCCUGUUUUUAUAUUUUUGUUUUUAUAAAGUAGAAAAAUAUUUAUUUUAUUUUUAUGCCACCACAGUGAAUGUACUUAUGGGUUUUAUGCCACUCGUCUACUCACAUGGGGCUUACAGUUUUUUUUUCACAUUUUUAUUUUCUUUCUAGGAUAAUACGAACAUGAUUAACUAAGUAAACUAUUUGAAAUAAUUAAAAGGGAAAGGAUAACUACCAAGUUUACCUCUUGGCAAGGCGUUCGGUGUUUUUAAGUCCUCCGAAUGGGACUCCUUGUGUUUUCAGUCAUCCUGGGAUUCGCUAGGUGGCGUAGUCGGUGAUUCCGGUGGCGCCUCCUCUUUGUGUAUAACUAUGUUCUCUUUCCACACCUGACUCGGUGCUACGGUCUCCUCAGGACAGUUCUGUUCAAGUUGUAUGUCUUCAGUCCUUAUCACUUCUCCUUCGUAGUCUACCCAUCCGUCCUUGAUGAUUUUACUCCUCUGGUUGCGGUUGCGUUGUCUUCUUCUUGUCCUGACCUGCUUAGAGUCUUCAACUAUAUAGUUAGGGUCAAUAAAAUAGCGGCGUACCUUCUUAGAGGGGAAGUGCAUGUGGACUUCUCCGGUUCCAAUGUAGAUGAUAACUUUGAUAGUGUUGAUGAACGGUCUUCUAAGGAUGGUGGGUGGAUCAUACUCGUCUUCUCCCAUGUCAAUGACCUGAAAAUCAUCUGGAGCUGAAUAUAUUGGUUGUAGGGGCAUGGUUCCAUGCAAGAGCUGAUAAGUGACUACGGCCAUUAUGUUGUCGUCAGAUCCGGUGUCGUAGAGUGUCUUCUAAAAAGAGUAUCCAUUGUUUGUGCAUUUGAUUCUUGGAACACCAGGGUCGUCCUUCUUGAUCAAGAAAGGUGACUUGUGUCGACGAUCUUGACCUCCUUGAACUGCAGUGACCAUCUUAGCUGACUCUAUCCACAUUUGCUUGUUCUUGUUUCCUCCUGUUGGUCCUCUUUCUUGGUUGAUGUCAGGGUUGCUCUGAAGUUUGUGUCGUCUUGUUCUUGAAGGAAAGUCUCCUUCUUCCCCUUGAUGUAGAGACUGAUCUUGGCAGCAUUAGCGUAGAUGACAGCUCUGGUGUUUAGGAAUGGCCUCCCUAAGAUGAUGGGUGCCCUCUCCUCAGUGCCAGUCUCUAUCACCACGAAGUUUGCUGGAGUGUGCAAGGUACCAACUCGGACAUAGAGGUUCUUCAAUAUUUCCUUUGGGAAACUAAGUGUCUGAUCUCCAUUGUGUUUGUGCUCGUAGAUCCCGGUUCUUCACUUGAUGGAAUCUGGGAGUUGUAAAACGCCUUCACGUUUCUCAAAAUGUGUCCUGCUCAUAGAGACAAGGCAGAGAUCAAGUGCAUGGGCCCUGUUGGUGGAAAACACCAACAGAACCAAAAGUGUAUUUGUUCUUCUCUAACCUUAAGCAUAGUGAGCAAGACAAAGUUGAUGGAUCAUGAGUGUAGCAUUUAAAACAUUUGUUAGAUCAGAUGGCUCAACCUAAUGGAAAGAUAAUCUAUCUAUAUUUAUGUUUUGUUUAUAUCUUUCAAAGAUUGAAUGUGCAAUACUUUAGCUUAUAUGAUUAGGAGUGUGGGAUCACGAAGGUAGUACUAAGAACAAAGAUUAAAGGACUAAACAUGUUGAAUUAAUUGGGUUGGUAAAUUUGGAGUUAUAAAUCAUACAUGUUUGUCUCUUUAUUUAUGUGAAUGCCAGAACCAAGGAGAAGCUUAUAAAAGUGUUGGUCAAGUACCUUAAGAUGUUACCUUACUUGAAGAGUGAUGGUACAGUAUCACCUUGUGGAAGCUUUCCUUUCUUAGCGGUUGUGUAUCGUGUUUG